ACUAACUUCAUCUCCCAUGUCCACCAGCGUCCUUGCCAUCCCAGAAUGGGCCAUCAAGAACUUGAGCACUUGGAUUGCUAAAACCCAACUGAGCAGUCACCACAGAAAAAGAGGGAAAAGGUAUAGAAAUUCCACCAAAACACCAGUUUUUAUAUUACUGUGAUACCCUCAAUAUUACUGUCAAACACCAAAUCUAAAUGCUCUAGCCCAUGCCAAUUCAGAACCUCCAUUAGAGGAGCUUGAAAAUGAACCUUAC
Molecule: long non-coding RNA, 256 nt
Filed under: Ricinus communis (castor bean)
Lineage: Eukaryota; Viridiplantae; Streptophyta; Magnoliopsida; Malpighiales; Euphorbiaceae
Description: long non-coding RNA (RCOM_LNC003344)
Source: RNAcentral